AGGAGUCUCACAGGGGUUACCUGAGAAUACACGAAUAAAUUAUUUAUAUUUAUUUAUCUCACAAUGUGGUGGUUGUUUCAUGUGUUCUCAGGUCGCCCCUGUAUGGCUUUC
This is a non-coding RNA of Morus notabilis, 111 nucleotides long. Lineage: Eukaryota; Viridiplantae; Streptophyta; Magnoliopsida; Rosales; Moraceae. The record is from Rfam.